CCGUAGCCCAAGAGAUCGGGAUAACACCUGGAAACAGAUGCUAAUACCGGAUAACAACAGAUGAUGCCUAUCAACUGUUUAAAAGAUGGUUCUGCUAUCACUCUUGGAUGGACCUGCGGNGCAUUAGCUAGUUGGUAGGGUAACGGCCUACCAAGGCGAUGAUGCAUAGCCGAGUUGAGAGACUGAUCGGCCACAUUGGGACUGAGACACGGCCCAAACUCCUACGGGAGGCAGCAGCC
This 239-nucleotide ribosomal RNA is filed under the name uncultured Lactobacillus sp. Its description in RNAcentral is "partial 16S ribosomal RNA". It matches the Rfam family "Bacterial small subunit ribosomal RNA", at positions 125 to 355 of the family's 1533-position model. The record is from RNAcentral. Lineage: Bacteria; Bacillati; Bacillota; Bacilli; Lactobacillales; Lactobacillaceae.